This is a non-coding RNA of Podarcis lilfordi (Lilford's wall lizard), 71 nucleotides long. The record is from the annotation of a GenBank genome assembly. NCBI's taxonomy places the organism in Eukaryota, Metazoa, Chordata, Lepidosauria, Squamata, Lacertidae.
AUAUUGGCACAAUUGGUCAGUGAAUCUGGCCCUUAACCAGAAGGUUGGUGGUUUGAGCCCACCAAGGGACA